Molecule: ribosomal RNA, 378 nt
Filed under: Triticum aestivum (bread wheat)
Lineage: Eukaryota; Viridiplantae; Streptophyta; Magnoliopsida; Poales; Poaceae
Description: partial small subunit ribosomal RNA
Source: RNAcentral
AUGAUCCCCGCGUACGAGGGCGGGCCGCUGGCCCAGGCCGUGUACCGCAGCAUGAACUCCACGGAGACGUCGGAGAGGAGGGCGACGGCCGCGAUGAGGACGAGCGCCGGGACGACCCCGAGGACGCGCAUUGCCGCCGGGAUCGACAUGAUGCCGGCGCCGAUGAUGCUAGUGGACAGGUUGAACACCGCGCCGGAGACCGACGCCCCGCCGCCGUGCCCGCCCGAGAACUCCGGGAGCAGCGGCUCGUCCACGCCGGCGGCGCCUGCUCCCUUGCCCAUGCUCGCCGGCAGCCUCGUGUUCGAAGUGCUCUGGGGCGUGUGGACGGCGUUCGUCGUGAGUACUCAAACUGGCAGAAGACUAUGUAGGUAUAUCUAA